This 468-nucleotide ribosomal RNA is filed under the name uncultured bacterium. RNAcentral's name for it is "partial 16S ribosomal RNA". It matches the Rfam family "Bacterial small subunit ribosomal RNA", at positions 28 to 507 of the family's 1533-position model. The record is from RNAcentral.
GACGAACGCUGGCGGCGUGCUUAACACAUGCAAGUCGAACGGAAAGGCCCUGCUUUUGUGGGGUGCUCGAGUGGCGAACGGGUGAGUAACACGUGAGUAACCUGCCCUUGACUUUGGGAUAACUUCAGGAAACUGGGGCUAAUACCGGAUAGUAGCUCCUGCUGCAUGGUGGGGGUUGGAAAGUUUCGGCGGUUGGGGAUGGACUCGCGGCUUAUCAGCUUGUUGGUGGGGUAGUGGCUUACCAAGGCUUUGACGGGUAGCCGGCCUGAGAGGGUGACCGGCCACAUUGGGACUGAGAUACGGCCCAGACUCCUACGGGAGGCAGCAGUGGGGAAUAUUGCACAAUGGGCGGAAGCCUGAUGCAGCAACGCCGCGUGCGGGAUGACGGCCUUCGGGCUGUAAACCGCUUUCGCCUGUGACGAAGCGUGAGUGACGGUAAUGGGUAAAGAAGCACCGGCUAACUACGUG